Molecule: non-coding RNA, 55 nt
Submitted as: unclassified sequences
Source: Rfam
AUUCGUUCACCCUAAUAGGGCGCAGUCCGAGCUAUACCAUGGAACGGGGGAUAGC